UUUAAGAUCGAAUCACGACCGAUCUUAAAAAGUUCAACUUUUAAAAUCAACUCUUUUAAGAUCGGUCAAGGAACCGAUCUUAAA
RNAcentral lists this microRNA precursor (84 nucleotides) under Cajanus cajan (pigeon pea). RNAcentral's name for it is "miRNA gene-KK1_038734". The record is from RNAcentral. Lineage: Eukaryota; Viridiplantae; Streptophyta; Magnoliopsida; Fabales; Fabaceae.